This is a long non-coding RNA of Rhipicephalus microplus (southern cattle tick), 376 nucleotides long. NCBI's taxonomy places the organism in Eukaryota, Metazoa, Arthropoda, Arachnida, Ixodida, Ixodidae. The record is from RefSeq and is a predicted model, not a curated record.
AUCACCUGAAGGCGUUCGAUAGAAAAACCUUUUCAACGUGAUAAUGAAUGCCAAAGCUCUACUAGUUGCUCUCGUGGCUUGCGCCAUUCUUGUCGCCGGCACCAACGCAUGCGGCGGGGAAGGCCGCUCCUGAGUCCGGCCGGUGUGGCGGCAGCGAGGGGCGCAGCGAACACGGGCAAGCCGAGGCACGCCAGGAGAGCGAGGCUGCCCGCUGCGGUGGAAGCGGCCGCUGCGAUGGCUAGGCGUGCCGCCAAGAAACUUCUCUGGUCUGGCUGUCGCAGUCUGUCUGCUGUCAAUGUUGCCCUUCUUCUAAGAGCAUUGAGACACUCUAUUGAUGAAUAAAUUCAAUAAAGCUGCAUUCAUUUGCAUUUGUUGA